UAGAUGUCUUACAAUCUUUUUGAAUUCAAACUAAAUAAUAGAUGAGAAGGAACAAAGCCAAAUCUGAAACUCCCUUUAGUUGAAUCCCGAGGGAUCAGUCUCAGAAGCAGAUGACUUUUGUAAUUAACUUUGAACAAAG
Long non-coding RNA from Cucurbita moschata (crookneck pumpkin), 139 nucleotides. RefSeq lists it as uncharacterized. The transcript is spliced from 2 exons. The record is from RefSeq and is a predicted model, not a curated record. NCBI's taxonomy places the organism in Eukaryota, Viridiplantae, Streptophyta, Magnoliopsida, Cucurbitales, Cucurbitaceae.